AAAAUUUUUAUUUUCACUCCUUGAAGCUCUAGUCCACUUCUAUUCGUUCCGAAAUCGUCGGAACUCAUUUCCAAAUCUGUGCAAAUCACUUUCCAGUGUACUUUACCCAAUUUGAUAUAAAAUAACAGAAAAAAGUGAUGGUUGAAUUUGAUAAAAAAAUAUAAUUUAAUAAAAAUAAUUUAUUAUAAAAGUAAUUUAUAAGAAUAAUUAAUUACAAUACUUAAUUAAAAUAAUUUAUUAUAAAAUUUUGUUAAAAAUAAUUUAUUAUAAAAAUGAGUUAAUAAAAAACAAUUUAUUAUAAAAAUAUAUUUCUUUCAAUUUCUACUUAAACUUAAAUUUAAUGAAUAUAAUUUAUUAUAUUAUUUAACUACAAUUUAUUAUAGUACUUAAGUAUAAAUAAUAUGUAUUAAUAUAAUAUAAUUACUAAUUUUAUAUAAAUUUAAUUUAUUAUAAUAUAUAAAAUAUUAUAUUUUAUGUCUACGUAAUUUAGUUUUAAUUAAUUUAUAAUCUUAGAAUAUUCUACCAAAAUUGUGAAGAGUUUAUCCAAAAUUAUAUUCUGAAUAACAGAAAAUAACAAAAUUUAACGUGAAUAAUAUUAUUCAAACUGAAAAAAUAUUCUAUUUCACGGAAUAAUAGGGAUAAUUUAUUUUUAUCCCGUCUUUAUUCGAGUCAAACAUGACCCUAGAGAACAGCAAAACUUGUUCAAAGUUU
RNAcentral lists this long non-coding RNA (711 nucleotides) under Ananas comosus (pineapple). Its description in RNAcentral is "long non-coding RNA (ACOM_LNC011938)". Lineage: Eukaryota; Viridiplantae; Streptophyta; Magnoliopsida; Poales; Bromeliaceae. The record is from RNAcentral.